CAGUCGCCGCGGUAACACGGAGGGGGCUAGCGUUGUUCGGAAUUACUGGGCGUAAAGCGCACGUAGGCGGCUUGGUAAGUUAGAGGUGAAAGCCCGGAGCUCAACUCCGGAAUUGCCUUUAAGACUGCCGAGCUAGCAGGUGAGAGAGGUAAGUGGAAUUCCGAGUGUAGAGGUGAAAUUCGUAGAUAUUCGGAAGAACACCAGUGGCGAAGGCGGCUUACUGGCUCAUACUGGACGCUGAGGUGCGAAAGCGUGGGGAGCAAACAGGAUUAGAUACCCCUGUAGUCCCUGUCUCUUAUAC
RNAcentral lists this ribosomal RNA (301 nucleotides) under uncultured bacterium. RNAcentral describes it as "partial 16S ribosomal RNA". It matches the Rfam family "Bacterial small subunit ribosomal RNA", at positions 509 to 807 of the family's 1533-position model. The record is from RNAcentral.